CCUACGGGAGGCAGCAGUAGGGAAUAUUGCACAAUGGGCGAAAGCCUGAUGCAGCGACGCCGCGUGAGGGAUGACGGCCUUCGGGUUGUAAACCUCUUUCAGCAGGGAAGAAGCGAAAGUGACGGUACCUGCAGAAGAAGCGCCGGCUAACUACGUGCCAGCAGCCGCGGUAAU
This 174-nucleotide ribosomal RNA is filed under the name uncultured Streptomyces sp. Its description in RNAcentral is "partial 16S ribosomal RNA". It matches the Rfam family "Bacterial small subunit ribosomal RNA", at positions 338 to 524 of the family's 1533-position model. The record is from RNAcentral. Lineage: Bacteria; Bacillati; Actinomycetota; Actinomycetes; Kitasatosporales; Streptomycetaceae.